This 20-nucleotide small RNA is filed under the name Arabidopsis thaliana (thale cress). RNAcentral's name for it is "Ath_wt_08972". The record is from RNAcentral. Lineage: Eukaryota; Viridiplantae; Streptophyta; Magnoliopsida; Brassicales; Brassicaceae.
GGGUGCACCGCCGACCGACC